Enterococcus mundtii crl1656 is the source of this 67-nucleotide non-coding RNA. The record is from Rfam. NCBI's taxonomy places the organism in Bacteria, Bacillati, Bacillota, Bacilli, Lactobacillales, Enterococcaceae.
CCUGUGGAGUGUUAGAACAAACGAGAGUAGCGAGCAAUGGGCAAAAUCGGGCACGUAGAAACAGGAA